Molecule: ribosomal RNA, 1447 nt
Filed under: uncultured Bordetella sp.
Lineage: Bacteria; Pseudomonadati; Pseudomonadota; Betaproteobacteria; Burkholderiales; Alcaligenaceae
Description: partial 16S-23S ribosomal RNA intergenic spacer
Rfam family: Bacterial small subunit ribosomal RNA
Source: RNAcentral
AGUCGAACGGCAGCACGGACUUCGGUCUGGUGGCGAGUGGCGAACGGGUGAGUAAUGUAUCGGAACGUGCCUAGUAGCGGGGGAUAACUACGCGAAAGCGUAGCUAAUACCACAUACGCCCUUCGAAGGGGAAAGCGGGGGACCUUCGGGCCUCGCACUAUUAGAGCGGCCGAUAUCGGAUUAGCUAGUUGGUGGGGUAACGGCUCACCAAGGCGACGAUCCGUAGCUGGUUUGAGAGGACGACCAGCCACACUGGGACUGAGACACGGCCCAGACUCCUACAGGAGGCAGCAGUGGGGAAUUUUAGUUAAUGGGGGAAACCUGAUCCAGCCAUCCGCGUGUGCGAUGAAGGCCUUCGGGUUGUAAAAGCACUUUUGGCAGGAAAGAAACGGCACGGGAUAAUACCCCGUGCAACUGACGGUACCUGCAGAAUAAGCACCGGUAACUACGUGCCAGCAGCCGCGGUAAUACGUAGGGUGCAAGCGUUAAUCGGAAUUACUGGGCGUAAAGCGUGCGCAGGCGGUUCGGAAAGAAAGAUGUGAAAUCCCAGAGCUUAACUUACGGAACUGCAUUUUUUUUAACUACCGAGCUAGAGUGUGUCAGAGGGAGGUGGAAUUCCGCGUGUAGCAGUGAAAUGCGUAGAUAUGUGGAGAACACCGAUGGCGAAGGCGGCCUCCUGGGAUAACACUGACGCUCAUGCACGAAAGCGUGGGGGCAAACGGGAUUAGAUACCUGGUAGUCCACGCCCUAAACGAUGUCAACUAGCUGUUUGGGGCCUUCGGGCCUUGGUAGCGCAGCUAACGCGUGAAGUUGACCGCCUGGGGGAGUACGGUCGCAAGAUUAAAACUCAAAGGAAUUGACGGGGACCCGCACAAGCGGUGGAUGAUGUGGAUUAAUUCGAUGCAACGCGAAAAACCUUACCUACCCUUGACAUGUCUGGAAUCCCGAAGAGAUUUGGGAGUGCUCGCAAAGAAGAGAACCGGAACACAGGUGCUGCAUGGCUGUCGUCAGCUCGUGUCGUGAGAUGUUGGGUUAAGUCCCGCAACGAGCGCAACCCUUGUCAUUAGUUGCUACGAAAGGGCACUCCUAAUGAGACUGCCGGUGACAAACCGGAGGAAGGUGGGGAUGACGUCAAGUCCUCAUGGCCCUUAUGGGUAGGGCUUCACACGUCAUGUACAAUGGUCGGGACAGAGGGUCGCCAACCCGCGAGGGCCAAUCCCAGAGGCCCGAUCGUAGUCCGGAUCGCAGUCUGCAACUCGACUGCGUGAAAGUCGGAAUCGCUAGUAAUCGCGGAUCAGCAUGUCGCGGUGAAUACACGUUCCCGGGUCUUGUACACACCGCCCGUCACACCAUGGGAGUGGGUUUUACCAGAAGUAGUUAGCCUAACCGUAAGGAGGGCGAUUACCACGGUAGGAUUCAUGACUGGGGUGAAGUCGUAACAAGGUAA